AGUGAACGCUGGCGGUAGGCCUAACACAUGCAAGUCGAACGGCAGCACAGUAAGAGCUUGCUCUUACGGGUGGCGAGUGGCGGACGGGUGAGGAAUACAUCGGAAUCUACUUUUUCGUGGGGGAUAACGUAGGGAAACUUACUCUAAUACCGCAUACGACCUACGGGUGAAAGCAGUGGAUCUUCGGACCUUGCGCGAUUGAAUGAGCCGAUGUCGGAUUAGCUAGUUGGCUGGUUAAAGGCCCACCAAGGCGAGGAUCCGUAGCUGGUCUGAGAGGAUGAUCAGCCACACGGGAACUGAGACACGGUCCAGACUCCUACGGGAGGCAGCAGUGGGGAAUAGUGGACAAUGGGCGGAAGCCUGAUCCAGCCAUACCGCGUGGGUGAAGAAGGCCUUCGGGGUGUAAAGCCCUUUUGUUGGGAAAGAAAAGCAGCAGGUUGAUACCCCGCUGUUCUGACGGUACCCAAAGAAUAAGCACCGGCUAACUUCGUG
RNAcentral lists this ribosomal RNA (492 nucleotides) under uncultured bacterium. RNAcentral describes it as "partial 16S ribosomal RNA". It matches the Rfam family "Bacterial small subunit ribosomal RNA", at positions 29 to 507 of the family's 1533-position model. The record is from RNAcentral.